AGGGUAUUUUCGCAAUGCUUUCCAUCUCAUUAGGAUAAGCAGUCAUAGUAAAUACAGGUUAUUUUGCGGAUCACCCUCAAUCGCCCUCGCAUCAGCGAUAGGUAAUACAGAUUACAAACAGCUGCACUUCCUACAGGUAGACAAAGAAGAAAGGCUACGGAACGAUUGUCACCUUAGAAGCUGGCUGAGAUGAAUCAGAACUGUUUUGUCCUCGUUAGCAAUGAAAAUAUCCCUUGGCAGUGAAUGUUUGGGAAAA
Molecule: long non-coding RNA, 256 nt
Organism: Toxorhynchites rutilus septentrionalis
Lineage: Eukaryota; Metazoa; Arthropoda; Insecta; Diptera; Culicidae
Exons: 3
Source: RefSeq, a predicted model, not a curated record